GUGCUCGCUUUGGCAGCACAUAUACUAAAAUUGGAACGAUACAGAGAAAAUUAGCAUGGCCCCUGCACAAAGAAAAUUUUCAUUAUUUUGACUUCUUGAGAACCAUC
Suncus etruscus (white-toothed pygmy shrew) is the source of this 107-nucleotide small nuclear RNA. Lineage: Eukaryota; Metazoa; Chordata; Mammalia; Eulipotyphla; Soricidae. The record is from RefSeq and is a predicted model, not a curated record.